AUAGAUUCAUAUAUAUGGCGCAUUUGUUCUUUAUCCUGAAAAUUGAUCCCGGAGAGUAUACCAGGCGUAACGUGGCAACUUGUGCUUCGAAUCGUAUUAAUGAUUCUGCCGAUCUUUCAACAUAUUCAAAAAUAGUUAAUGAUUAAUUCAACUAAGAGAAAUAAUUAUUUUUACUUGUGGCACGAGACCUGAUAUUUAGGGAGAAAGUGCUAACGGAUUACAUCGACGACACUGCUCAAAUCAUACUUUUUUGUUUCGACUUCGGAUGGACGAAAGAUAAAGUUAAUAUCUAAAAAAUUACAACUCUGGCCAUAAAAUGACGCAAAAUCCACUACGCAUUUUGUCCAGUGAGUAAAGAAUUGUGCCAGCACGUGACCUUCAAUUUGAAGUUAUAGAAUCGACACCAUAAGAACGAAUAAAUAAUCCGUAAGCAAAUUAUGCACAAUGUUGCAACCUAUGUUAAAAAGUACCGUAUAUGAAGGAUGUUUUCCAUAUCGUAUUGAUAAAAUCGUAUAUUUAGGUUCCAGCUCUGCUUUCAUAAAUACAUGCGGUCGUGUAGUCAUUACCUCUACGAAAUAUAUAAAAAUAUGUCAUGUGUUGAAAUAAUUAAGAAACAAGGUGCUCCUACUUCAUCCAGUCUUGAGACAUUAUGCAUCCUACUAUCUAUUCUACUAAUAUCGCUAUUCUUUUGAUGGAAUACCGUCUCAGCUGAUGCUUAUGGAUUUCAUGUAAGAAUAUUCAUGAAUAAAAGUUGAUUUCAAAUUUA
Octopus bimaculoides (California two-spot octopus) is the source of this 766-nucleotide long non-coding RNA. The record is from RefSeq and is a predicted model, not a curated record. Lineage: Eukaryota; Metazoa; Mollusca; Cephalopoda; Octopoda; Octopodidae.